Molecule: long non-coding RNA, 493 nt
Filed under: Equus caballus (horse)
Lineage: Eukaryota; Metazoa; Chordata; Mammalia; Perissodactyla; Equidae
Description: lncRNA (ENSECAG00000048706.1)
Source: RNAcentral
AAGAAAACUACAAUGGUAUUGCUCUUUUUUCCCUCUUUUGCUGCAAUUGGUAAAGUGUGAACACAUUUGAUGGUAUCUGCUGCUGAGGAGAGUAUGGAGAAAUGGAUUCCCCUAAGUUACUGGCAGAAGUGCACAUUGGUACAACCUUUGGGAGAGCAGUUUUAGAAGCUGUGUUUUGAUGGGGAGACAUUUUGCUGAAGAGAAACAAGGCUUUUUAGGAAGGAAAUUCUGACACGUGCUACCACAUGGAUAAAACUUGAAGACAUUACGCUCAGCGAAAUAAUCCAAUCACAAAAAGACCAACACUGUAGGACUCCGUUUAUCUGAAGUAUCUACAACGCUCAAAUUCAUAGAGGCAGAAAGAGAAUGGUGGUUGCCAGCCACUGAGAGAAGGGGGAAAUGGAGAGUUGUUUAACAGCAGGGAACUAUAUGAUUUCUACUUCCAGCUGUGGAAAAAGGGAAGGAAGUUGAGUGGGAUAAUGCAAGAGAUUUC